Molecule: non-coding RNA, 217 nt
Organism: Pelobates cultripes (western spadefoot toad)
Lineage: Eukaryota; Metazoa; Chordata; Amphibia; Anura; Pelobatidae
Source: the annotation of a GenBank genome assembly
CCACCCGUCCCCGUUACAGGCGAUCCAAUGAUGGGAGGUAUUGGGAGCAUUAUUCAUUAAAGUGAAACUCCAAAGUAAAUUCACAGUGAAUUUGAAAUUUAACACAUAACUGGACAGCAAAAUAUCGUACUCCGCUAUGUUUCAAGUUCAGCUACCGUAUAUACUUGUGUAUAAGUCGAGAAAUGUCCGUCGUAAACGUCAUUUUAAAAUGCAGCGU